Molecule: RNA transcript, 1095 nt
Organism: Carlito syrichta (Philippine tarsier)
Lineage: Eukaryota; Metazoa; Chordata; Mammalia; Primates; Tarsiidae
Gene name: mitochondrial carrier homolog 2 pseudogene
Exons: 1
Source: RefSeq, a predicted model, not a curated record
GCCAGCGAGCCUGGCACGUGACUCCCUGACGGACUCCCUCGGUCGCUCGGAGGCUGGGUCUGUCUGUCCGUCCGCGGGUGCCAUCAUAGCGGACGUGGCCAGUCAGGUGCUCCUGAGCUCCGGUCUCACCAUCCUGUCCCAGCUGCUCAUGUAUGUGAAAGUGCUCAUCCAGGUGGGAUAUGAGCCUCUUCCUCCAACAAUAGGAUGAAAUAUUUUCAGGCGGCAAGUAUGUCAGCUUCCUGGUUUUUUUUGUUAUGCCAGCAUUGAUGGAAGACGCGGGUUGUCCACAGACUUAACUCCAAGACUGUGUUCAGGAGUCCUUGGAACUGUGGUCCAUCGGAAAGUUUUACAGCAUUACCAGGAAUGUGAGAAGGGUGAGGAGUUAGGACCUGGAAAUGUACAGAAAGAAGGCUCGUAUUCAUCUGACCGAGUUAUCAAGGAGACAACUCGAGAGAUGAUUGCUCGUUCUGCUGCUACCCUGAUCACACAUCCCUUCCAUGUGAUUACUCUGAGAUCUAUGGUACAAUUCAUUGGCAGAGAAUCCAGGUACUGUGGACUCUGUGGCUCCACAGUAACUAUCUACCGGGAAGAGGGCAUCCUAGGAUUUUUUGCGGGUCUUGUUCCUCGCCUCCUAGGUGACAUCAUUUCUUUGUGGCUCUGUAACUCACUGGCCUACCUCAUCAAUACCUAUGACAGUGGGGUUUCCACCAUGAAUGAAAUGAAGAGUUAUUCCCAAGCUGUCACAGGAUUUUUUUGCCAGUAUGUUGACCUAUCCCUUUGUGCUUGUCUCUAAUCUUAUGGCUGCCAACAACUGUGGGCUUGACAGUGGGUGACCUCCUUACUCUCCAGGAUAUUCUUCUUGGAUAGAUUGCUGGUGCAUGCUACAAAAAGACGGCAAUAUGAGCCGAGGAAAUAGCUCAUUUUUCCAGAAAGUCCCCUUUGGGAAGACUUACUGUUGUGACUUGAGAAUGUUAAUUUGAAGAUGUGGGGCAGGGACAGUGACAUUUCUAUAGUCCCAGAUGCACAGAAUUAUGGGAGAGAAUAUUGAUUUCUAUACAAUACAGCGCGCUUUUUUAAUAAUCAUUUGAUCUUGGG